Long non-coding RNA from Nematostella vectensis (starlet sea anemone), 1533 nucleotides. RefSeq lists it as uncharacterized. The transcript is spliced from 2 exons. The record is from RefSeq and is a predicted model, not a curated record. NCBI's taxonomy places the organism in Eukaryota, Metazoa, Cnidaria, Anthozoa, Actiniaria, Edwardsiidae.
CUGCACCUGAAACGGGACAACAACAUGUACGAUGUAAACACCGAAUCUGCACAAAGCGCCGACCAUUCGCUUCCUCCUCUCUGCUGGCCUGGCCUGGGAAGCUUAUCUCAGCUUGACGCGGGCUUGUAAUGGAAAGGUUACAGCAACACGCUAAUGGAAUUCCUUUGGCGUAAUUACAACAGUCAUCGAGUCGCACCACAUAGCGUAAAAUCGACCUUACCACUAACCGUGGACAAGCGCACUAAUUUGAGACUCCGGGGUUACGGGCGGCAGAAUGGCGCCUUGCCCGUCUUAUCAAAUCUGACCUAGUUUUUAGGCUUCGAGAAAAUCCUGAGCCAAGAAACGCCGGAAGAUUACGUCGAUAAGCCGUCAUCUAGAAGCCACGCCGCAUACAAUAGGAAAUGACUGGCGCGGUUUGCGGUGCAGCUAAGCAGUAUUAAGCUUAUUAUAUAGUCUUCAAAUAUUGUUAAGGUAACACCAGUAUAGAUAGGAACAUCGUUAUCGUAAGGGAAAUGACUAUCGAUGUUUACGGCAUAGCUAAGCCGAUGUAAGGGCCGCUCAUCCCUUGUAUACUUCAUGCAAAAAGUGGUCCAUUAUUCAGAGUAGCGACCGGGUGGUCAUAUAGUCGGCGCCAUCGCCGUUAAGGGGUGGUAGCUGCGGUUACAUCUCGCUCUUGGAGCACAUGAGUUAUGAUAAGUCCCCUCAACGAUCGCAUGUGGGCACCAUAUGCCUGAUUUGGAAUCAUGUCUUUGGUAGGAAAGUUAAAGAAAGCGUGGUAGAUUUUUUUUGUUCUUGCCUUUCAACAUGGCAUACAGAAAAGCCACAUACCGACAGAAAACAGUAAUCCAUAGUUUGUUGUAACGUUAUCUAUUCUUCCAACCACAAAACACAACACACCGUUUGCGGUGGAGUUGGUCACACUGAGAGCUGUACAACAAUGUGAAUAUGGACGACAAUAGAAAACACAUGCAGCAAAGCACAAUAUUCCACAUACAAUAGAAUGCAAUUUGAGUAUAACUGAUGCCUUUACUCCGUGACCACUAUCACCCUCAAACACCCCCUUCCCUCCGGCAUAGCAAGGUAGUUAUGUCAGCCGAUAGGGACUCUACGUCGAUCAAUCCCCAUCUCUUUAGGGUGCGCCCCGACAAUUGGGUGUGGCCCUUUCUUUGUCCACUCUUGUCGCUUAUGUUUUUAAAUGUAUUCAUUGGGUGCUAGUAAAAAGGCUGACCUCAACAAUAAUCAUCCAUGGAAGAACAAGGUAAACCCAUUGUGACUCAAUGCCUUAUCCACAUUGUAUCAUUUUCAUACUACGCAUACUUGCAGAGCAUAUAGCGUAUAGUAAAAUCUUUAAUACUAAGCAAACAGGCAGAACAUAUAUAGCGCAUAGUGAAAGUAUUAUUGAUUCAAUAUCUCCGGCAUAGUUCAUCAACAGUAAAUUCAUAUAUUGUAUGUAAAUUUUCAUUUUGCCGUUUUUUAACACCCAACAAUGUAAAACCGUGAAAUCCAAAAAAAUAUUAAAAAACAUUUUGAAAC